Long non-coding RNA from Vidua chalybeata, 3323 nucleotides. RefSeq lists it as uncharacterized. NCBI's taxonomy places the organism in Eukaryota, Metazoa, Chordata, Aves, Passeriformes, Viduidae. The record is from RefSeq and is a predicted model, not a curated record. The transcript is spliced from 2 exons.
GAUGCUUCUGCUAAAGGGGAAGGAAAAGUAUGGAAAUAUAGGGCAGAAGCCCUCCACUUUUCCUCUGGUGAGCAAAUGAUUACAGAGGGAGAAGGUAGUACACACAUUGGGGAGCUGAUAGCUGUCUGGAGUAUUUUUCAACAAGAAGCACAGAAUUCCUCUUUGGUCUGCAUCUACACUGACUCCUAUGCUCUGUACCAAAUGAUCCUAAUAAUCCAGCUCAUGACCCUGGCCAACCUGUUCUGGUGGACCUCUCUUACUAUAGGACUAGUAGCACUUGUGCUAAAACCCCCUCUGAAUAAAUAUGCAUGGGAAGCCUCUAGUGCUCUAGGGAAAGAGCAUUGGACAAAUACAUGCUGGAUAAUUCCAUCAUUCUAACUUUUCUGCCUCUCGGCAGCAGAAUUCUGUUGUGUUUACUUUUUCAGAAGAACCCCGAGGGACAUGAAGACCACCUAAUCCAUGAUAAAACUGGUAAUACUUUUCUGCAUCCUACCACAACCCCAUGGCCAGAAACCAGCUGAGUGGCCGUGGUCUGAACUAAUUGUGGUAGCAUGCAGAAAAAGUGAAAGGAUCUCUUUAAGCACAAAAAGGUGUGUACGCACCCAAGCAUACAGGAUUGUUGGCACAAUUACACAUUAACACAAACUGUAGAAGUAGUUUGGUUUUGGUCCAAAAAUACCGAAGCACUUUUUUUUGUUUUGUUUUGUUUUUUGUUUUUGUUUUUGUUUUUUAAGUUUAAAGUAUUGAUUCAAAUACUGGAGUAGGACUUGAUGUUAAUGUUGUGACACCUACCACCCAACCACUGGUUACACUUAGCCCGAAAAUCUUUGGAAUUGGACCAUAUAUAAUCAGGAAAACUGGCCAACAACAGAUAUUGUUUAAUCUGUUAUGGUCUCUUAAACAAGUCAAAUUGCUGAUGCAAAACAAUAUCUCAGAAAUACAACCAGCUUGUUCACCCUUUUUGCAGACCUCUUUUCAGGGUUGGACAACCUGGCUGCGACAGUGGAACCCUCCUAAAAACCGGGUGCCAAGAGACGUAACUGGUCUUGUGGGGACAGGAUUGGGAAUCCUAAAUAGUAUUGAUUCAGAAGUAUUAAUGAAUAAAUUGGCUUCCACAACUAAAGAUUUAACCAAAAUACAACAACCACUGCAAUCGUCCUUAUCAGCCUUGGGAACACAUCAGUGGUUGCUAUCAAACAUUCUACCAAAUUGGGAAAAGAUAAAUGUAAAUAAUAGCAAAUUGAUAAUUGAUGGACUUAAUGCCACACAAAGCAACGUUUCCUUAGCUCUUAGCUGUAUCCAGGCUCAAUUAUGGAUGCAGUCAGUUGCUGCCUCAAUUAUAAGAGAAGGUGAAGAAGGCACUUUUCCUACUGAGAUUAGGAAAAUAGUCUGGGACAGUGCCACUGACUUCGAAAGAGAUUUCCAAUCCUGGUGGAAUUUAGUGAAUUUUACCUAUGACCCUAACACAAACACAGCCACAGCAUUUGUGCUGACCAUAAGAAAUGCCUCGGUGCAUUUGAUAUUCCCUAUCAUUGCACUAGGAUUAAAUCAUGAUGGACCCACUUUCUAUCCUUCUGAACAUAGAGAAUGGGCCCGUCAAAUUGAUGACAAAUGGCAAACUGUCAAUUUAGAGUCCUGUACCAUCUGAGAACAACUAGGGUUUAUCUGUGAAGGUAAUGCAAUUGUAGCUCAAGAUAUUUGUCUGGACACAGAACAAAAUAGCUGUCAUUUUGAUAUUCAUCCUAACGAGACUUCUGAAACAGUCCUUGUAUAUACAGACAAUGGGUGUGCCUGCUUCAGAACCGCUUGUGAUACUGUGUUUAUAGAAAGUACAGUAGUAGAUACUAAAAAUCAUUCAAAUUUUUGUGCUUGUAACUUUACUAAAAUUGCAGGAUGUGAUUUUUCUUUUGUAGCUCCAGUUACUUCACAUGAACUUUUAGAAUCCAAUCUCACGUUGAUUCACAAGCUACUGCCUACUCCCAUUGGGAUGAACCUUACUCUGGUAAAGCAAUUAUUACUUCAUCAAGAUCUAAUAGAGAUCCUAGGAAAAAUCAAGGGGAAUGGACAGAAAACUCUGGUAACUGUUCAUCAUGAUGUGCAAGAAAUACAUCGUGUUGUAGAAAGGGUGAAAAGUGAUGCUGAGCACAAGUGGUGGGAUACCCUUUUCGGGUGGUCACCCACCGCCACCGGUAUCCUGAACAAAUUGUGCCAUCCCAUUGUUGUUCUUCUGGUUUUAGUUAUGAUUGGUUUUGUUUUAUCAGUAAUCUUGCUUAUUGUAAAUUGGAGAAUGAUGAAACGAUGAACAAAAUUAACAUCUAUAAUUAAUGCACACCACUUGGCCGACAUCCUUUACACUAUAGAUGUUCCCAGGACUGUAGACACAAGAAGAUUAUAAGUUUUCGUGUUUUCUCUUUCUUUCCCUUUUCCUCUUCUCUUUUCCCUGCGACGUGCUGCCAACACUUGACGAGUCCUGAAGACUCCACGACGACACCAUGGAAUCCUGCUGAUGAAGAUCUUUCGAGGGCAAUCGUCAGUCACGGGGUGGUGUAAGAGCCCGUCUGAAGCCCCUCAUUUUCCAUUCUGCCUUCCGAUUGCCACAAGAAAGAAUCCCAUCCCCCACUGUAGUUCCGGCUUAGAACAGGACACAGCACAGGUGGAACCACUGAACCGUCACGCUGGCUGUUCCGAACAAGGCCUGGUAAGAACUUGGCAAGGACUUGGCAAGGACUUGGCAAAGACCUGACGUGGACCCAGCACGGGACAGCCUGAUGCGCGGCCUGCUUCUAAUCUCCGUUCUUAAGCCAAAUGAACUUUUGGGGUGACUCUCGCGGUCCUUCAUUGAAGACCCCUCAUCUGCCUCGUUACCACUGUGACAAACAAAAAUGAGAACCCUCCUCCCAAGGACUGAGACUGAGACCCCUGCUAUAGGGAGGAGGGGAAAUUGGUGGUCUGACCACUAAUGACAUGACCUGUUUCCCUUCAGUGAUUCAAAUGGACUUAUUCUUCAUUGGAUUCGUCUUGCUUUGGUGGUUACUGUGGACUCACCUGUUCCCUCGGGGCGAUUACAAUGGACUUUCAUUAUUACACUUGUUCCCCCCCUCUCUCCUCUGUGGACUAUAAUUGGACCCCCAAGUCGACCAGAACUUCGAAGACUCCCCCGACACGACAGAUGGAUCCCCAUCGUCCGGAGCACUGAGGAUCUCGCCUGUGUUGGUAGCUAUUCCCAUAUCCCUCUUCUCUCUCUAUCCUUUUAUCUCCUUUCAGAUCCCCACUAUCGCGUUUACUGUUUUGGCCCCUAAUAAAGGUGCAUUUGUUGUGAUUAA